RNAcentral lists this ribosomal RNA (468 nucleotides) under uncultured bacterium. Its description in RNAcentral is "partial 16S ribosomal RNA". It matches the Rfam family "Bacterial small subunit ribosomal RNA", at positions 28 to 507 of the family's 1533-position model. The record is from RNAcentral.
GACGAACGCUGGCGGCGUGCUUAACACAUGCAAGUCGAACGGAAAGGCCCUGCUUUUGUGGGGUGCUCGAGUGGCGAACGGGUGAGUAACACGUGAGUAACCUGCCCUUGACUUUGGGAUAACUUCAGGAAACUGGUGCUAAUACCGGAUAGGAGCUCCUGCUGCAUGGUGGGGGUUGGAAAGUUUCGGCGGUUGGGGAUGUACUCGCGGCUUAUCAGCUUGUUGGUGGGGUAGUGGCUUACCAAGGCUUUGACGGGUAGCCGUCCUGAGAGGGUGACCGGGCACAUUGGGACUGAGAUAGGGCCCAGAAUCCUACGGGAGGCAGCAGUGGGGAAUAUUGCACAGUGGGCGGAAGCCUGAUGCAGCAACGCCGCGAGCGGGAUGCCGGCCUUCGGGUUGUAAACCGCUUUCGCAUGUGACGAAGCGUGAGUGACGGUAAUGGGUAAGGAAGCACCGGCUAACUACGUG